RNAcentral lists this ribosomal RNA (303 nucleotides) under uncultured bacterium. RNAcentral describes it as "partial 16S ribosomal RNA". It matches the Rfam family "Bacterial small subunit ribosomal RNA", at positions 507 to 808 of the family's 1533-position model. The record is from RNAcentral.
AGCAGCCGCCGCGGUAAUACGUAGGGGGCGAGCGUUGUCCGAAGUUACUGGGCGUAAAGCGCGCGUAGGCGGCUUCUUAAGUCUGAGGUGAAAGGUUCAACGCUUAACGUGAACAGUGCCUUGGGUACUGGGGAGCUUGAGUAUGGGAGAGGGCAGUGGAAUGGCUGGUGUAGCGGUGAAAUGCGUAGAUAUCAGUCGGAACACCCAUGGCGAAGGCAGCUGCCUGGCCUAAUACUGACGCUGAGGUGCGAAAGCGUGGGGAGCGAACGGGAUUAGAUACCCGCGUAGUCCCUGUCUCUUAUA